GUAGUCUCGCACAGACUGCAUAUCAAUAAGCGGAGGAAAAGAAACUAACAAGGAUUCCCCUAGUAACGGCGAGUGAAGCGGGAAGAGCUCAAAUUUGAAAUCUUAAAGGGUUUCCCUUUACGAAUUGUAGUUUAAAGAAGUGUUUUCUGUUGAGGUUUUGGUAAAAGUUCUUUGGAAUAGGACAUCAUAGAGGGUGAGAAUCCCGUAUUUGACCUUUACUUUCAACUUUGUGAUACACUUUCAAAGAGUCGGAUUGUUUGGGAAUGCAGUCCAAAAUGGGUGGUAAAUUUCAUCUAAAGCUAAAUAUUGGCGAGAGACCGAUAGCGAACAAGUACCGUGAGGGAAAGAUGAAAAGAACUUUGAAAAGAGAGUUAAACGGUACGUGAAAUUGUCAAAAGGGAAGCGUUUGACACCAGUGUUGUUUUUCUGAAAAUCAAUUAAAGAACUGUUUAUGCUAAGCUGUUUAGACUUUAUCAGCUAACUGUUUAGUUUUGAGCUUUUCUUUAAUGCACUUUUCAGUUAACAAGUCAACAUCAAUUUCUUUUGCUGUAAAAAAGCUUGAGGAAGGUGGCUUGAGAUUCGUCUUAAGUGUUUAUAGCCUCUUGCCUAUGCAGUCGGAGAGAUUGAGGUCUGCAGCGUAGAGCCUUCGGGGCUAAAUGCAUUUGUGCUAAGUUAUAGCAUUUUAUAGACAACUUGUUGACUAUGAUUUGUCUUGUAGCUUACUCGCUUAUGUUAUUUUACCUACGCUUAGGAUGUUGAAGACUCUACAGAGAUA
Molecule: ribosomal RNA, 775 nt
Filed under: uncultured Neocallimastigales
Lineage: Eukaryota; Fungi; Neocallimastigomycota; Neocallimastigomycetes; Neocallimastigales
Description: partial large subunit ribosomal RNA
Rfam family: Eukaryotic large subunit ribosomal RNA
Source: RNAcentral